GACGAACGCUGGCGGCGUGCCUAAUACAUGCAAGUCGAGCGAGCGGAACUAACAGAUUUACUUCGGUAAUGACGUUAGGAAAGCGAGCGGCGGAUGGGUGAGUAACACGUGGGGAACCUGCCCCAUAGUCUGGGAUACCACUUGGAAACAGGUGCUAAUACCGGAUAAGAAAGCAGAUCGCAUGAUCAGCUUUUAAAAGGCGGCGUAAGCUGUCGCUAUGGGAUGGCCCCGCGGUGCAUUAGCUAGUUGGUAAGGUAAAGGCUUACCAAGGCGAUGAUGCAUAGCCGAGUUGAGAGACUGAUCGGCCACAUUGGGACUGAGACACGGCCCAAGCUCCUACGGGAGGCAGCAGUAGGGAAUCUUCCACAAUGGACGCAAGUCUGAUGGAGCAACGCCGCGUGAGUGAAGAAGGUGUUCGGAUCGUAAAGCUCUGUUGUUGGUGAAGAAGGAUAGAGGUAGUAACUGGCCUUUAUUUGACGGUAAUCAACCAGAAAGUCACGGCUAACUACGUG
RNAcentral lists this ribosomal RNA (512 nucleotides) under uncultured bacterium. Its description in RNAcentral is "partial 16S ribosomal RNA". It matches the Rfam family "Bacterial small subunit ribosomal RNA", at positions 28 to 507 of the family's 1533-position model. The record is from RNAcentral.